AUAUCAUUUUCAGAUCCCUCUUCGUCUAAGGUGCUUUACAUCGUGUAUAUAUUCUCUGCAACAAUUUCAUCUUGUUUUCAAGAUUACCCAGAGUUGACCAUAUUUUUCUAUUCCUUCUCAAACCUAAAAACUCAGUA
Molecule: long non-coding RNA, 137 nt
Organism: Populus euphratica (Euphrates poplar)
Lineage: Eukaryota; Viridiplantae; Streptophyta; Magnoliopsida; Malpighiales; Salicaceae
Exons: 3
Source: RefSeq, a predicted model, not a curated record